UUUGCUUGCAAGUAGUGGGCGAUGUGUGUGACUUAGAUGAUAUGGCAAGUUUUUUAGGCAUAUUCUUGCUUAAAAAUAAAGUUGAAAAGUUUUAGAUUACUUGCCACAAGACGAGAAUAUGGUAUGACGAUUACUUGGAAAGAAGUCAAGUGGAGCUUGUAAUUUGAAUGGUCUAUAGAAAGUUUUAUUGUGAACUAUACCAUGUUCCUGCAAGAUCUGCACUGACGGUUUGAGAUCUAAGUAGAUGAUAUAAGAUGUACGUUUACAGUUCGAUAUCUACAGUGCUGGUAUGAGAUCAUCGAUGACAUUAUAAGAUCAGCAGUGACAGUACGAGAUAGCCGGUAACAGAAUUAGUUCUGCAGUGACAAUUUGAGAUCUGCAGUGACAGUAUGAGGUCUGUGGUGACAGUAUGAGAUCUGCAGUGACAAUAUGAGAUCUGCGGUGACAGUAUGAGAUCUGCGAUGACAGUAUGAGAUAUGCAGUGACAAUAUGAGAUCUGCGGUGACAAUAUGAGAUCUGCCAUGACAUGAAAUCUGCAGUGACAGUACAAGAUCUGUGGUGACAAUAUAAGAUCUGCUGUGACAAUAUGAGAUCUUCAGUUACAGUAUGAGAUCUGCCGUGACAUGAGAUUUGUAGUGACAUGAAAUCUGAAAUGACAACAUGAGAUGGGUAUGAGAUCUGUGGUGACAGUGUGAGAUCUUCACUGACAUGAGAUCUACGGUGAGUGUAUGAGAUCUGCCGUGACAAUAUGAGGUUUGGGUGACAGUAUGAGGUCUUCAGUGACAUGAGAUCUGUGAUUGGAGAAGGAGAUAUGCCAUGACAGUAUGAGGUCUGUUGUGACAGUAUGAGAUCUGUGGCAACAUGAGAUCUGCAGUGACAGUUUGAAGUUUGUGGUGACAAUAUGAGAUCUUUGUUGACAUUAUGAGAUCUGCAGUAACAAUAUGAGAUCUGUGAUGACAUUAUGAGAUCUGUGGUGACAGGAUGAGAUCUUCAAUGACAGUAUGAGAUCUAUGGUGACAGUAUGAGAUCUGUGGUGACAGUAUGGGAAUAACGUUGACAUGACGAGAUCUGUAGUGACAGUAUGAGAUCCAUGGUGUCGGUAUGAGGUCUGUGGUGACAGUAUAGGAUCAACGGUGACAAUAUCAGUUCUGUGGCCAGAGUUUCACAUUCCCAGCUUUUUAUGUUGGUGUGUGUUCUUUGAUGUAAAGAUCAUCAGGAAAUAGAGAAACUACAUGAAAGAAGUGCCAUUGCAUUACAAUAUGAAUGGAUAAGAACUGUGAUAGGAAAUCAAGAUCUUAAGCAGCUUUUAUCUGGUUUGUUUUUUAUAAACUUUUGUACAAACCUGCAACAUAUGGAUUCACAUGGAAGUUUAUGGUACACACUAAAGAAAAAAACAAGUGGAAAAGAAAAUAAGUAAGGAAAUAUAUUCUAUUGGUGUCAUUGACAUGUGUGCUCAAUGCAGUAGACAGUUUCAUUAGGUAAGUCACGAUACAUACCUUUCAUACAUGUACAGUUUGGGAUUUAGUUAGUUAGUUUGUCAGUUAAGCAGGGCUUGACUAAUGCUUUGAAAGGAAAUCUUCUUAAAAUUUUCACUUGUCUAGCUGCAGUUUAUACUUGUCUUGUUAUUUUCUAAGGAAAUAGGCAUACUUUACUGUAUUAAUUUAUUCAUUAGCUCAACUUUUCGAAGAAAAUGUAUCUAUUGCACUCGCCCCGGCGUCGGCGUCGCCGUUGGUUGAAGUUUUUGGUAAAGUCAAAUAUCUCUGUUACUAUCAAAGCUAUUGACUUGAAACUUAAAAUAGGCAUUUACUAUCAAAGUCUACACCAGGAGAAACAAUCCCCAUAACUCUGGUUUGAAUUUUGACAGAAUUAUGCCCCUUUUUAACUUAGAAUUUUUGGUUAAAGUUUUUGAUAAAGUCAAAUAUCUCUGUUACUGUCAAAACUAUUGACUUGAAACUUAAAAUACUUAUUUACCAUCAAAAUCUACACCAGAAGAAACAACCCCCACAACUCUGAUUGGAAUUUUGACAGAAUUAUGCCCCUUUUUAACUUAGAUUUUUUUGUUAAAAUUUUUGAUAAAGUCAAAUAUCUCUGUUACUAUCAAAGCUUUUGACUUGAAACUUAAAAUACUUAUUUACCAUCAAAGUCUACACCCGGAGAAACAAUCCCCAUAACUGUGAUUUGAAUUUGGACAGAAUUAUGCCCCUUUUUGACUUAGAAUUUUUUGUUAAAUUUUUUGAUAAAGUCAAAUAUCUCUGUUACUGUUAAAGCUUUUGACUUGAAACUCAGAAUAGUUAUUUACUAUCAAAGUCUACACCAGGAGACACAAUUCCCAUAAUUCUGAUUGAAUUUUGACAGAAUUAUGCCCCUUUUUAACUUAGAAUUUUUAAAAAUUUUUUUUGAUAAAGUCAAAUAUCUCUGUUACUAUUAAAGCAUUUGACUUGAAACUCAAAAUAGUUAUUGUCUAUCAAAGUCUACACCAGGAGACACAAUUCCCAUAACUCUGAUUUGUAUUUUGACAGAAUUAUGUCCCUUUUUAACUUGGAAUUUUUUUUACAGGCAAAGCUCGAAUUCAGAGUCAAGCACUGAGAAAAGUCGAGCGCGCUGUCUUACGGACAGCUCUUGUUAUAAGUCUAGUCAGAAGUCUGUUGAAAACAAUAUUACAUAUAGCAUAAUCUUGUCGUGGACUACAUCAUAGUGUAGUAACAGAACAGGAGGGGUUUAGAUUUUAGAGUUGCAAACUUACAAGCAACAAGUGGAUUUGUCAAGCCCUGUUAAACCUCCGAUAUAGGAACAGUAUGUUAAUGGGGCACAACUCUAGAUAAUGUCAGACCUAAUGUUCAUAAUGUAGAUCUGUAAAAUAUUGAAAACCAGAAAUCAAUCUUAUUUAUUACAUUUCUUCUGUUUAACAUGAAUUUUUAUUGAAUGACCAGUGCUUUAUAAGAAUACAUGUACAUAUUUAGAGUGGUAACGAGCUUUUGUAAAACUGAAAGAUUCGUAUUGUUUCUUUUAAAGUUUUAUUGGCUGGUCUAGUUUUUUGAAAAGAAACCUAUAAGGUGUUGUCAUCACUUGAUUUAAAACUUUGUACACAGAAAGGGACUACAGGAAUGCACUCUGUCCGUCCACAAAUCUGAAUCCUGCAGUUACUCAAAAAGUAUUCAAGCUAGGCUCAUAAAACUUGGUAUGUAAAUAGAGGGCAAUAUGUAGAUUAUUCCUGUACAUGACUUACGCUUGUAGGCCAUAGGUAAAUGUCACUAUUGAAGGUCAAGGAAAAAUUGUUACCGCUCCAUAACUUUUAUAUGCAUUGAUGGAAUAUCUUAGUACUGCACACAAAUGUUCCCCAUGAUGAGACAAUUUGUCAUGUACAUGAUCUUUGCUUGUAGUUCAAGGUCACUAUAAUUGAAAUUUAAGUAAAAAUAAAUUUUGUUUCUUAGCUCCUAAAUGCCUUGAAGCAUUUUUAGUCCGAACACUGUUGCCAACAACCACAAGGGAUGAACACUAACAAAAUUUUCGACUGGUAGGUGACUUUCGUAUUGCCACUGAAAUACUUUGUCAAUUGUUUAACAGAGUCAUGAACCUUGAUCUGUUUUUGAUCUGUGAUACUUCUCUUAUACCAGUGGUUGGAAUUCUACCAAACGCCACAGGAGUUACCACUGCCUUGCCUAGUUGUGUAUAGCAUUUAAAUGAUAUGUAUCAGUGGUUCAGUGAUUUUCCCGGGAGUUAUGGCCCUUUUGACAUUUUACAAUUUCUGCCUGAUAAGUGGUGGAAGACAUACAUUUUUCUUGAAAAACAACCUCUAGUUUACAGUUGGUAACAAAUAAAAGUAUAUUUGUUAUGGUUAUUGUAACAAAUAAAAGUAUAUUUGUUAUGGUAACAAAUAAAAAUAUAUUUGUUAUGGUAACAAAUAAAAGUAUAUUUGUUAUAGUAACAAAUAAAAGUAUAUUUGUUAUGGUAACGAAUAAAAGUGUAUUUGUUAUAUGUUAAGAUAUUGACAUAAAUCUCGAGAUGUGCCCUUCUAAGACUUUCAUUUUAAAAGACAUAUAGAAUACAUCAUUUAGUUGUGCUGUGUGUUGGAAUUAGUUCAUGAAGCAUUUAUUGAGAUAUAUUACGGAAAUGGAUCAGAUUUCAAGACUUGUUAAUCCCUCGUCGUGGCAGAGGGAUUAUAGGAAUGGUCUGCGUCCGUCCUUCCGUCCGUCCUUCCGUCUGUCCUUCCGUCCGUCCUUCCGUGCCCGCGAAAUGAUGGUUAAGUGACUGCAUAACGGUACUUUCUCUUUGAUGUCAUUCAUUCCGUUCUGUUUAUGUGACCUUUUUCUUUUUAUGUGACUGUUAGAACAAUAGAGAGAACAAUGGGGGUGUCACAUAAAUACCGUUUCGUUAGAACGUCCGUCCGUCCUUCCGUCCGUAACAAAAUCGUGUCCGGUCCAUAUCUUUUGAACCCAUUGACAUAUUUCCAUUAUAUUAACAACAAAUGUUGAACUCACCAAGGCGAUGUGCAGAACCCAUAUUCCAACUGUGCUGGGUCAAGGUCAAGGUCACACUUGGGGAUCAAAGGUCAUGGGGUGAUAUUUCGUGUCCGGUCCAUAUCUUUUGAACCCCUUGACAUAUUUCCAUUAUAUUAACAACAAAUGUUAAACUCACAAAGGCGAUGUGCAAAAUCCAUGUUCCAACUGCGCUGGGUCAAGGUCAAGGUCACACUUGGGGAUCAAAGGUCAUGGAUUUUUUAUCUGGGUCAUGUGGGUCAAAAAUUAGGUCACCAGGUCAAAUCAAAGAAUAGGCGUGUUUACACCCUAGGGGGCACAUUUUUGAUUCUAUCUUCAUAAUAUUUUUGGUCAGAAUGUUUGUUAUCAUUCAUGAACUCUUGGAUGCUUUCAAACCUGGGUCACGUUGGGUCAAAAACUAGAACACUAGGUCAAAUCAUAAAGCUUGUAUACACUCUAGAGGCCAUUUUUUUGCUCUAAUUUUCCCGAAACUUUGUCAGAAUGUUUGUUUUCAUAAAAUUAAGGACAAGUUCGAAUCUGGGUCAUGUGGGGUAAAAAACUAGGUCAAGUCAAAGAAAAUGAUUGUUUACUCUCAAGAGGCAACGUUAUUUUGGUCCAAUCUUAAUGAAAAUUUGUCAGAAUAUUGUCUCCAUGAAAUCACUAGGUAAAACAUGUUUACACUGUUAUGGUGUGUUACACAGUUGAGCGACUUAGGGCCAUCUUGGCCCUCUUGUUUUUACUAGUGAUGUCAAUAGAACGAUAUUUGUUCGGAUUAGUGAAUUUUUUUUUUUGUCGGAUUUGCUUUCCUUCUCGACCUUGCCUUUUUUGAUACGUCCGUUUGAAAAACGGGACGUACUAUGGGAACGCCCCUGGCGGGCGGGCGGCGUCCACAGACUUUCUCCGGAGCAUAUCUUCUUCAUGCAAGGAGGGAUUUUGAUGAAACUUGGCACAAUUGUUCACCAUCAUGAGACGGGGUGUCAUGCGCAAAACCAGGUCCAUAGGUCUUCAUUUUACUAGUAAGCUCAAUUGAACUGCAUUUGUUUCUCUUGCUUUCUUCAUGUAUGUUUUCAUAUAUUCUAACCUUGACUUUUUCUUUCCAUCAGUUGAUUGCUGGUGCUCAAUUUCAUGAAUCAAAAUCUUGCUUGCUUGAUCAUGAAAGUAUGCCUGUAUCAUCGAAUUCGCUUUUGCGUUAGUCUUGAAAUUUGGAACAUUCAAAAACGGCUUAAUGGUGGGCACCAAGUAUUCACGUCUUUCUAUUUUAAAUUUGUAAACAUUAAAUAGCGAACACUUGUUGUAACUAGAAACUUGCUACUUGAAAGUUCGUACAUUAAGUGGUGUAUCCGCUUUUUUCUUACUAGUUGUCAUUUUUAGCUCCACUAAAAAAGCGUGGGGGGGGGGGGGGGGGGGGGGGGGGGCUAUACUUCUCGCCCCGGCGUCGGUGUCGGCGUGACCCUUCUUGGUUAAAGUUUUUCGGCAACCUUUGUUUUUCUGUCAUAUCUUUGUUACUAUUGCUUAUAUCUUACUGUAACUUCACAUAAACAUUGUCCAGUAUACAAACAAUAUAUGUAUAGGUGCUGAGCUCAUUAUACCCAAGGUCAAGGUCACCAAGGUGUUAUACUUAAGUUAUUUUUAAGGUUAAAGUUUUUCGGCAACCUUUGUCUUUCUGUCAUAUCCUUGUUACUAUUGCUUAUAUCUUACUUUAACUUCACAUAAACAUUGUCCAGUAUAAAAACAAAGUAUGUGUAGGGGCUGAGCCCAUUAUACCCAAGGUCAAGGUCACCAAGGUGUUAUACUUAGGUUAUUUUUAAGGUUAAAGCUUUUCGGUAACCUUUGUUUUUCUGUCAUAUCUUUGUAACUUUUGCUUAUAUCUUACUGUAACUUUAAAUAAACAUUGUCCAGCGUACAAACAAAGUAUGUAUAGGGACUGGGCCCAUUAUGCCCAAGUUCAAGGUCACCAAGGCCUUGUACUUAGGUUAUUUGUAAGGUUAAAGCUUUGUUUUUCUGUCAUAUCUUUGUUACUUUUGCUUUUAUUAUACUGUAAGUUCACAUAAAUAUUGUCCAGCAUACAAACAAAGUAUAUGCAGGGGCUGGGCCCAUUAUUCCCAAGGUCAAGGUCACCAAGGAGUUAUACUUGGAAUUACUUUCAUAUUAAUUUUUUUCGAAAGCUUCGUUUAUAGACAUAUCUUUGGUACUUUAAAAGAUAAUGACUUGAAAUUAAAAAUAUUUGUUUAUAAUCAUCAUCUGCAUGUGUGGUUACAUACCCUAUAACUCUAAUUGUAUUUUUGACAGAAUUAUGCCCCUUUUGUACUUAAAUUUUUUUUGCAAUCUUCGCUUUCUCGAUAUUACUUUAAUGCAAUAUAAGAUAAAGACUUGAAACCUAAAAUGCAUCUUUAUCACCAUCAUCUGCAUGUGUGGUGACAAUCCCUAUAACUCUAAUUGUAUUUUUGACAGAAUUAUGCCCCUUUUGUACUUAAACUUUUUUUGCAUUCUUCGCUUUCUGAAUAUUACUUUAAUGCAAUAUAAGAUAAAGACUUGAAACUUAAAAUGUAUCUUUAUCACCAUCAUCUGCAUGUGUGGUGACAAUCCCCAUAACUCUGAUUUGUAUUUUUGACCAAAUUAUGCCCCUUUUAUACUUAAUUUUGUUUAACAAACUUCGUUUUCUGGACAUAACUUUGGUACUUUAUAAGAUAAUGACUUGAAACUCAAAAUAUAUCUUUACCAUCAUCAUCUGCAUUUGUUGUAACAAUCCUGAUAACUCGAACUUGUGUAUUUGAUGGAAUUAUGCCCCUUGGUGUAUCUUCCUUUUAUAGUAGAGGUCUCUUAUUCAGACAUAUAUUCAUUUUACUGUCAAAACUCCGAAUAGUGGAGCACGCUGUGUAAUGUAAUUUCAAAAAGGGUGCUAGGCUAUUGUUUUAAAAGACUAAAUUAUUCAAUGUCUUGGAGAGUAUUUAUUCAUACUCUUUACCUUUUUAAAAUUGUUGAAAUAUAAAACUGACAAGUUAUCGUAGCCCUGGGCAGGUUAAGACAUAACACCAGGAAAACUACAUCUUAAUUUGGUAAUCAACAGUCUGGCCGGUGCAUAUAAAAGGUCUAUGUACUAGACAUUCAGGAGGCAAGGCGGCAGAGCCACCAACCGUGGUUCUGCCAACGUAAGUCAAAAAUACUAUUAUGCCUAGUUAGGUUACCUUCCAAAUAUGUAGAUUUCAUGAAAGACAACUCAAACAUAAUUAGUUCUUAACAUUUUACAGUAGCUAAAUAUUAUUUGAAAGAUGGACACUGAGACAAUAAAAUUACUUGUUCUAAAAUACUUUAUUUAACUACCUGAAAUUAAAUAAACAUCAAUACGAACUAUUGUGUUUUCAAUCUUAUAUAUGUGUGUGAAAGUUCUACAACAGGUUUUACAAGUCUGGUAACACUGGAGCCAUGUGGCUUUCAGAGGCCAUUACGCUACAAGACGAUUUUGGUAUCCGAGGACCAGGAUGUUCUCUGCGAGAUUGUUGCGGCCACGUAUUACACGAAGUACUCUGCCACUAUACAUCACGCCGAUCUGAGAAGACGUCACGAGCCACUAGAACUUCGAAAACGCAAGUAGAAAUGUCUAUUUUUCCUUUUAAAAGUUUUGGGCAUAUUUUGGGAGAAAAAAUAGUUGAAUUCAAUCUAGCACGAAAUGCAAUUCAAAAAUUAAAACUGUUACUGUAAAGUUUGCCUUAAUAAAAUUAUGUAUCAAAACAGAGUUGCAAAUUAUGUAUAAAAAUAUUUACAAAUCUUGUAGGGUAGGCAAAAAUUAAAUAAAGCAAAAUAAAGCAAAACACUGAAAUAUAUAAAAUUUGAAAACUCGGUAAAUUAGCUAAAUCGGGCAGACGAAAGCUAGCUGUCAAUAUAUCAUGGUUAUAAAACAAUUGAAAUAUUACUUCAUAAAUAUAUCGCCAUAGGGUUUUUAGGUUGUUUGAUUUUUGACAAACCUAAUUUAUGAUUUUUUUUUCCAAAAGGUAGGCAUUAUCAAGCGAUGCCUAUCAAGAAAGAUAUAAGAUGAACAGAAGAGUAAACUAAACUGUUUACAAAUAAAGUAGAAAAAUACAAAAAAAAGAGAAUAAAAUGAAAUUACAAAUGUAAAAAUGUAAAGUACACGAAAACAAAUUAUGCUGCUGGCAGUUUAUCUGUUCGAGGAUUUUUAUUAAAAUUACAAGUUGUAUGUUAUGACAAAAUUAAAAGCAAGUUCAGUUGUCAAAGUAACGUGUGGGAAAUGUCAUUUAUAGUAUAAAAUUCAGAUUACACCUGUCAAAUAUUAGUUAACAUGUAGGUAACUGGUCAAAUUUGCUUCUGACAGUUCGCAUGUCAAACUAUAUUUUAACAUACCUGUAUUCAAUUUGAAAUUCAUAAUUUAAACUAUACUUGUUUUAAAAGUAUUUUGUCAUCAUAUUUUUUUGAGCAUUAUUUAGAUAAAAUGUUUGUAUGGGGUUUACUGUUUCAAAAGAAUGAAGGUUCGGAUAUUGUGAUUAUAGUAAAUGUAACGUGGCAGAAACUAAGACCACGGUAAACACAGGAAAUGUGUUUGAUGAUGACCUGUGAGCAGUGACUCACAAAGAACACUAGAUUAGUGUUAUUUUAGGUAUAAAGGCCGUGCAAACAGAAGCAUAGGAAACCUAUAGAAUAUACCUACGGAAUAGUAGAUAAGUAUGUCUACGUGACGAACAUAUAUUUUUUAUGAGCAGUGAACAAUAUACGUGCAUUUUGUCAACGUUUUGUUUUGAAUUAAUAUGUUGAUAUAUUUUAUCAAAUUGACACAACUGAAAAGUUUUCAUGUUAACCGAGCUUGUUGCACAUGUACAAGUUGACGAGUAGGGUGGAACAUUAUUAAAAAUUAAUAGAUGUAGAGAAUAUAUCUUUGAUGUGCAUAAGUUAUACAUAUGAAAAGUUAAAAAUUUAUUCGUAAAAAAAGAUAAGACCACAAUUUGCUUAAAUGAUACAGUUCAUCAAAACAGAAUUUAAAACGCAUGGUAAAAUAAAUGUAAAUGAAAAUAGAAGAUGAUUAAUAUCAAUAUUUUUCUUAAGGGCAAAAAUGUUUUUAUUAAGGCCUUUCUCCAGCUGUCAGCAAGUUGGUAUGUCAUGUCCUCGUGUAUUGAAACCGUAUAGAUCUAAAUAUAAAUUACACAAUAUUAAUAUUAAGGAAGUAAUAAAUUGGGUGCAACUAUUUUGUUCAAAAUUUCAAAAACAUGUAAGGGGAAAGGAAAAUGGGCGAAGACACUUGCUAUGUGUGCAUAAAAAUGCUGUGCAAAUUUGUGAAAAAUUAGAAGUCAUCAUGGAAAAAAUCAUAGAAAUAAAAUGCAAAGUCAUACUGGAAAUUCUGUGAAACAAAGAGGAAAAUAAUUCAUAUUCAGAUUGGGAAUUUUGUCGAGCUCAUGACACGGAGAAUUCAAAUAGUCGUUUUCACAUGGACUAGCCUUCGAAUUAAAAACUCCAUGGAAAUAUAUAUCCAUAGAAACAAUGAAUGUUUACAACAACCAUGGUGACAAGAUAAUAAAAUCUUUAUAAGUUUAUAACAUGCGUCUUGAUGGACAUUUAAGCAUGACCUAACAAUUUUAAUUUUUGACGGAGAAACUCUUUCAAGAUCACAGCCGAACAUAUAAAAGCCAUUAGGAAUGAGCUGUCGAAAUUCAAUAACAACAUGACAUUUGCUGAUCAUACUUUUAGUCAAUUUCAGUAUAUUAUAAUUCACCGAUGAGGUUACACAGUACAUGCCGCUUGAUGACACAGCCUACAACAUGACGAUGUCUGCACGUAAUACCACUGGGCAAAGACGAAACACAAAAUAAAUAGUCGCGUGGAAUUUUAUGUACAAUUGUAUUACCAUUUCAAAUAUUUACCCAUCGCGUUUUGAAUUUUUGUUAGCUCUGUGUCCAUCAAUUUUUGUUUUAAAUCUGUAUAUUUGUCAGCAAAAACGUCUGAUAUUACCAAUAAGAAACAAGCAUAUGUGUUCAAACACCUAUUUUUGCAUUACAAUUCAUAACAUUCAAAAGUUUCCGAGGAUAGUAAAAUACCUUUUUUUAUUGUUUUUUUUUCGUGAAGAAAUGAAGGAAUUUGUAAUGUAAUUUCAAAAAGGGUGCUAGGCUAUUGUUUUAAAAGACUAAAUUAUUCAAUGUCUUGGAGAGUAUUUAUUCAUACUCUUUACCUUUUUAAAAUUGUUGAAAUAUAAAACUGACAAGUUAUCGUAGCCCUGGGCAGGUUAAGACAUAACACCAGGAAAACUACAUCUUAAUUUGGUAAUCAACAGUCUGGCCGGUGCAUAUAAAAGGUCUAUGUACUAGACAUUCAGGAGGCAAGGCGGCAGAGCCACCAACCGUGGUUCUGCCAACGUAAGUCAAAAAUACUAUUAUGCCUAGUUAGGUUACCUUCCAAAUAUGUAGAUUUCAUGAAAGACAACUCAAACAUAAUUAGUUCUUAACAUUUUACAGUAGCUAAAUAUUAUUUGAAAGAUGGACACUGAGACAAUAAAAUUACUUGUUCUAAAAUACUUUAUUUAACUACCUGAAAUUAAAUAAACAUCAAUACGAA
Long non-coding RNA from Mercenaria mercenaria, 11027 nucleotides. RefSeq lists it as uncharacterized. The record is from RefSeq and is a predicted model, not a curated record. Lineage: Eukaryota; Metazoa; Mollusca; Bivalvia; Venerida; Veneridae. The transcript is spliced from 3 exons.